UCCGGUUUGUCACCGGCAGUCUGGCGUGAGUCCCCAACUUAAUGCUGGCAACACGCCACGGGGGUUGCGCUCGUUGCGGGACUUAACCCAACAUCUCACGACACGAGCUGACGACAGCCAUGCAGCAUCUGUGGUGCACCCUCGAAGGUCACACGUUUCCGUGCGCUUGCAGCACCAUGUCAAGCCCAGGUAAGGUGGGGAUGACGUCUGCGUAACAGAA
Molecule: unclassified non-coding RNA, 220 nt
Filed under: uncultured Rubrobacterales bacterium
Lineage: Bacteria; Bacillati; Actinomycetota; Rubrobacteria; Rubrobacterales
Description: contains 16S-23S intergenic spacer region
Source: RNAcentral